CCUACGGGGUGCAGCAGUGGGGAAUAUUGCACAAUGGGGGAAACCCUGAUGCAGCGACGCCGCGUGAGUGAAGAAGUAGUUCGGUAUGUAAAGCUCUAUCAGCAGGGAAGAAAAUGACGGUACCUGAUGAAGAAGCCCCGGCUAACUACGUGCCAGAAGCCGCGGUAAUACGUAGGGGGCAAGCGUUAUCCGGAUUUACUGGGUGUAAAGGGAGCGGAGACGGCAGCACAAGUCUGGAGUGAAAUGCCGGGGCUUAACCCCGGUACUGCUUUGGAAACUGUGCAGCUAGAGUGCAGGAGAGCUAAGUGGACUUCCUCUUGUAGCGGUGAAAUGCGUAGAUAUUAGGAGGAACACCAGUGGCGCAGGCGGCUUACUGGACUGUACCUGACGUUGAGGCUCGAACGCGUGGGGAGCAAACAGGAUUAGAUACCCGAGUAGUC
RNAcentral lists this ribosomal RNA (440 nucleotides) under uncultured bacterium. Its description in RNAcentral is "partial 16S ribosomal RNA". It matches the Rfam family "Bacterial small subunit ribosomal RNA", at positions 338 to 795 of the family's 1533-position model. The record is from RNAcentral.